Ipomoea triloba (trilobed morning glory) is the source of this 781-nucleotide long non-coding RNA. RefSeq lists it as uncharacterized. The record is from RefSeq and is a predicted model, not a curated record. Lineage: Eukaryota; Viridiplantae; Streptophyta; Magnoliopsida; Solanales; Convolvulaceae. The transcript is spliced from 4 exons.
UCUUCUUUCUCUACAACUCUGCCCCUUUCUCUCUCAAGACUUCUCCUCUCUUCUCUAGUUCUUGCUCUCUAUAUCUCAGAUCUCACUCACCUCAGGGCUCAGUAUCUCAUCCCUCACUCUCUAAUCUCUAUGUCUCUCAUCUUCUCCGGUCUCCGCCGCUCAGAGCCUCAAACUCCGCCUCUCGCCUUUUACAACGUAGAUCUGGGAGAUGGGCUUAGACUCAUCAACUUCUCCAGUGACCAAUAGUUUGCUAUUCUCCUUCGAGAGUCUCCGGCUCUCAGUCGUCUCUCACUCUCAAGUCUUGCCUCCGGUGAGUCCCCUUUGACCUCUGGCUCUCUACAGAUCCGGGAGAUCUCCAUUGAGGCUUCGAGUUCCUAGACAUCUCUAGGAGAAAAAAAGGGUUCCAAUCAACAAGUUGCUACUCUUCUUGAAUUUAUGACAAUAGUCCAGACUUCAUUAAUUGUUCAUAGUCCAGACUUCAUUAAUUCCAGAUCAUCCUACAAAGGGGGUUCAUACAAACGAGUAGGAGAUCACUGGAUCAAUUUUGCAUAGGGGAGCAAUAGCUUUUUUCCUUAAUUUUAUUUCGCUAUGCUUUGUUUAGUUUUUUCUUUUUUGGUGAUUGUAAAAUUGUAAUUAACUAGAUAAGGUAUUUUGCCCUUCUGUGUUGUCAUGUAAAAUAUUGUAUUUUUUAUUGUUUUGCAUAUUUUAAUUUUUUUUAGAUUGGAUUUUCAAUUUUAGGUUUGCUUCCAGAAUUUUAUUGCUAAAGAUGUAAAAUUUCACA